Molecule: ribosomal RNA, 369 nt
Filed under: uncultured organism
Description: bacterial SSU rRNA
Rfam family: Bacterial small subunit ribosomal RNA
Source: RNAcentral
CGGAGGGUGCGAGCGUUAUCCGGAAUUACUGGGUUUAAAGGGUGCGUAGGCGGCCAUGUAAGUCAGGAGUGAAAGUUUGCGGCUCAACCGUAAAAUUGCUUUUGAUACUGCAUGGCUGGAAUCAGGAUGAGGUCAGCGGAAUGUGGCAUGUAGCGGUGAAAUGCAUAGAUAUGCCAUAGAACACCAAUUGCGAAGGCAGCUGGCUAGACCUGUAUUGACGCUGAGGCACGAAAGCGUGGGGAGCGAACAGGAUUAGAUACCCUGGUAGUCCACGCCCUAAACGAUGCUUACUCGACGUAUGGCACUAGUUGUUGUGCGUCCAAGGGAAACCGUUAAGUAAGCCACCUGGGGAGUACGACCGCAAGGUUG